AUUUAUCAUUUCAUUCUGUGUAAUGAAAAAGAGAAUUACUGUUAACCUAUGUUAAUUUAUAAAACGAGCUGACAGUCUAUCAAAUAUUAGAAGACAAUACUCUGUUACUAGUAACAUCGCCAUUCUAUGAUAAAAAUCUAAAAACAUUGAGAAAAAGGUCACAUGAACUGAAUAAACAGUAUUGCACAUUGUCCAUCUACUGUUGAGCACCACAGAGCUUUUAGGUAAAAAACAAAAAACUACUAGCUCUUUGUGGUUUUAUAUAUUUAUAUUUAUUAUCUAACAGGUCUGAUGUAG
This is a non-coding RNA of Pelobates cultripes (western spadefoot toad), 297 nucleotides long. The record is from the annotation of a GenBank genome assembly. Lineage: Eukaryota; Metazoa; Chordata; Amphibia; Anura; Pelobatidae.